AACGAACGCUGGCGGCGUGGAUUAGGCAUGCAAGUCGAACGCGAAAGAGGGGGAAACCCCUUUAGUAGAGUGGCGAACGGGUGAGUAACGCGUGAAGAACCUGCCUUCAACAGGGGGAUAACACUCCCAACGGGGUGCUAAUACCGCAUGAGACCACGGAGCUGCAUGGCUCUGAGGUCAAAGGUGGCCUCUAUUUAUAAGCUACCGGUUGAAGAUGGCUUCGCGUCCCAUUAGCUAGUGGUGGUGUAAAGACCACCAAGGCGACGAUGGGUAGCUGGUCUGAGAGGAUGGUCAGCCACACUGGGACUGAGAUACGGCCCAGACUCCUACGGGAGGCAGCAGUCGAGAGGCUUCGGCAAUGGGGGAAACCCUGACCGAGCGACGCCGCGUGGAGGAUGAAGGCCCUUGGGUUGUAAACUCCUUUUGUCAGCGAAGAAAUGCGAUCAGGUUAAUAAUCUGGUCGUUUGACGGUACCUGACGAAUAAGCUCCGGCUAACUCCGUGCCAGCCGCCGCC
RNAcentral lists this ribosomal RNA (515 nucleotides) under uncultured bacterium. Its description in RNAcentral is "bacterial SSU rRNA". It matches the Rfam family "Bacterial small subunit ribosomal RNA", at positions 29 to 519 of the family's 1533-position model. The record is from RNAcentral.